This 253-nucleotide unclassified non-coding RNA is filed under the name uncultured Planctomycetota bacterium. RNAcentral describes it as "uncultured planctomycete contains 16S-23S intergenic spacer region". It matches the Rfam family "Bacterial small subunit ribosomal RNA", at positions 524 to 776 of the family's 1533-position model. The record is from RNAcentral. Lineage: Bacteria; Pseudomonadati; Planctomycetota.
UACAGAGGUGGCAAGCGUUGUUCGGUAUCACUGGGCUUAAAGGGCGCGUAGGCGGCGCAGUACGGUCUGGGUGAAAUCCCUCGGCUCAACCGAGGAAUUGCCUGGGCAACGGCUGUGCUUGACAGCAUCAGGGGAAGGUGGAACUCCCGGUGGAGCGGUGAAAUGCGUAGAUAUCGGGAGGAACGCCGGUGGCGAAAGCGACCUUCUGGGGUGCUUGUGACGCUGAGGCGCGAAAGCCAGGGUAGCGAAGAGG